UCUGCUGAAUCUGCUGGCAUUAAUUAGUCCUGUCAUACAAUUCAUAGUAACCUAUCAGCAAUAAGCUUUGAUUUGUAUAUUGAACUAAAAAUGUUCAAAUCAAGUAUAUGAUUGGUCCCUACAGGUUCCAAGAGAAGGGCAAGCUUUUUCCAUGUUACAGCUCACAGCAAUACGUUUACAGCUUUGGAGGUUCUGUUAGACUCAAAUAGGGUUAUAUAGACCUAUGAUUACGCAUGGAAACACAUGAAAUGCAUGAUGUGAAAUAAAGGUUCUUUUUUUUUAUCUUACACCACGUCCGAGGUGUUCCUGGAGUGCGUAUCCAAAGUGGAAGUGUUUUUUCCAAGGUACAGGUUCGUUGUGCAGCACCCGGACCUCCAACGGAGAGCAGAAGAAAUACCGGAUAAAGCCUAAAUAAAUGACACAAGAAAAUAAUACCAACAGGACUGACACUCAUGCAAGUUCCACGUUGUAGCUCCCACCCUUUCCAGCUACAGUCAGGUGAUUCCGGUGGUGGCC
Long non-coding RNA from Xenopus laevis (African clawed frog), 516 nucleotides. RefSeq lists it as uncharacterized. The record is from RefSeq and is a predicted model, not a curated record. Lineage: Eukaryota; Metazoa; Chordata; Amphibia; Anura; Pipidae. The transcript is spliced from 3 exons.